This 292-nucleotide ribosomal RNA is filed under the name uncultured delta proteobacterium. RNAcentral describes it as "partial 16S ribosomal RNA". It matches the Rfam family "Bacterial small subunit ribosomal RNA", at positions 9 to 285 of the family's 1533-position model. The record is from RNAcentral. Lineage: Bacteria; Deltaproteobacteria.
GAGUUUGAUCGUGGCUCAGAACGAACGUUGGCGGCGUGGUUGAGGCAUGCAAGUCGCACGAGAACGAGGUAGCAAUAUCUCAAGUAAAGUGGCGGAAGGGUGAGGAAUGGGUAGAUGACGUACCCUGAAGAUGGGGGAUAACGGCUCGAAAGAGCCGCUAAUACCCGAUGAGACCACGACUUUAAUAGGUUGGGGUCAAAGGCCGGGGAUCUUCGGACCUGGCGCUUUAGGAUCGGUCUGCUUCCUACCAGCUAGUUGGUGAGGUAAUGGCUCACCAAGGCUGCGACGGGUA